Molecule: ribosomal RNA, 469 nt
Filed under: uncultured bacterium
Lineage: Bacteria
Description: partial 16S ribosomal RNA
Rfam family: Bacterial small subunit ribosomal RNA
Source: RNAcentral
GACGAACGCUGGCGGCGUGCUUAACACAUGCAAGUCGAACGGAAAGGCCCUGCUUGCAGGGUGCUCGAGUGGCGAACGGGUGAGUAACACGUGGGUGAUCUGCCCCUUACUUUGGGAUAAGCCUGGGAAACUGGGUCUAAUACUGGAUAGGACCAUGCUGUAGGUGGUGUGGUGGAAAGAUUAGUUUCGGUAAGGGAUGAGCUCGCGGCCUAUCAGCUUGUUGGUGGGGUAAUGGCCUACCAAGGCGUCGACGGGUAGCCGGCCUGAGAGGGUGGACGGCCACAUUGGGACUGAGAUACGGCCCAGACUCCUACGGGAAGCAGCAGUGGGGAAUAUUGCACAAUGGGCGCAAGCCUGAUGCAGCGACGCCGCGUGGGGGAUGACGGCCUUCGGGUUGUAAACUCCUUUCAGCCAUGACGAAGCCCUUGUGGUGACGGUAGUGGUAGAAGAAGCACCGGCUAACUACGUG